Long non-coding RNA from Musa acuminata AAA Group (dessert banana), 153 nucleotides. RefSeq lists it as uncharacterized. The record is from RefSeq and is a predicted model, not a curated record. Lineage: Eukaryota; Viridiplantae; Streptophyta; Magnoliopsida; Zingiberales; Musaceae. The transcript is spliced from 3 exons.
GUGGCGGAUUUUGCGAGUAAAAGGGAAGCCUUCUUUGACUCACGAGGAUGGUUGGAUUCUGACUCCGAAGAUGACUUUGUCAGUGUCAACGGAGAUUCAACUCCUUUCAGCUUCAGUACAAACAAAGCAUUCUCUGCUGAUACAUUUCCUGUC